GCCGGAAUGGCGGAACUGGCAGACGCCCGGGACUUAAAAUCCCGUGAUACUUUGUAUCGUACCGGUUCGAUCCCGGCUUCCGGCACCA
RNAcentral lists this transfer RNA (88 nucleotides) under Clostridia bacterium. RNAcentral describes it as "tRNA-Leu". It matches the Rfam family "tRNA". From Rfam's summary of the family: Transfer RNA (tRNA) molecules are approximately 80 nucleotides in length. Their secondary structure includes four short double-helical elements and three loops (D, anti-codon, and T loops). RNAcentral also lists the same sequence under 2 other names. Lineage: Bacteria; Bacillati; Bacillota; Clostridia. The record is from RNAcentral.